UUCCGGUUGAUCCCGCCGGAGGUUACUGCUAUCGAGGUUCGACUAAGCCAUGCGAGUCGAAUGUAGCAAUACAUGGCGAACUGCUCAGUAACACGUGGACAACCUGCCCUUAGGACGGGGAUAAACCCGGGAAACUGGGUAUAAUACCCGAUAGGUCUCGAUUGCUGGAAUGCAUCGAGAUUUAAAGCUCCGGCGCCUAAGGAUGGGUCUGCGGCCUAUCAGGUAGUAGUGGGUGUAGCGUACCUACUAGCCUACGACGGGUACGGGUUGUGAGAGCAAGAGCCCGGAGAUGGAUUCUGAGACACGAAUCCAGGCCCUACGGGGUGCAGCAGGCGCGAAAACUUUACAAUGCUGGCAACAGCGAUAAGGGAACCUCGAGUGCCAGGUUACAAAUCUGGCUGUCGAGAUGCCUAAAAAGCAUUUCAUAGCAAGGGCCGGGCAAGACCGGUGCCAGCCGCCGCGGUAACACCGGCGGCUCGAGUGGUAACCGUUAUUAUUGGGUCUAAAGGGUCUGUAGCCGGCCGGAUAAGUCUCUUGAGAAAUCUGGCAGCUUAACUGUCAGGCUUUCAGGAGAUACUGUCUGGCUCGAGGCCGGGAGAGGUGAGAGGUACUUCAGGGGUAGGGGUGAAAUCUUGUAAUCCUUGAAGGACCACCAGUGGCGAAGGCGUCUCACCAGAACGGACCUGACGGCAAGGGACGAAAGCUAGGGGCACGAACCGGAUUAGAUACCCGGGUAGUCCUAGCCGUAAACGAUACUCGCUAGGUGUCGGCCACGGUGCGACCGUUGUCGGUGCCGUAGGGAAGCCGUGAAGCGAGCCACCUGGGAAGUACGGCCGCAAGGCUGAAACUUAAAGGAAUUGGCGGGGGAGCACCACAACGGGUGGAGCUUGCGGUUUAAUUGGAUUCAACGCCGGG
Molecule: ribosomal RNA, 915 nt
Filed under: uncultured archaeon
Lineage: Archaea
Also listed under: 5 other names
Description: bacterial SSU rRNA
Rfam family: Archaeal small subunit ribosomal RNA
Source: RNAcentral